RNAcentral lists this long non-coding RNA (278 nucleotides) under Gossypium raimondii (Peruvian cotton). Its description in RNAcentral is "long non-coding RNA (GRAI_LNC009216)". Lineage: Eukaryota; Viridiplantae; Streptophyta; Magnoliopsida; Malvales; Malvaceae. The record is from RNAcentral.
GGUUGUCUGAAAGAGUUUGGGUGGAGUUAGAAUUCUGAGGUAGUUGUGAGUUAGUGGGUUAGUUAGUGGGAUAAUGGGGGUUGAUUUUUAGUCUGAUAUGAAUCUAUAUUAAUUUUAAGUUUUUGUUUUUAUUUUUCUCUUUUCUCUCUUCCCAAGAAAAUUUUGACGUUAGUUUUCCCUUUCUCUGCAUAAUUCCUGUCAAUUGACAAAUUCCUAUUUCUUUGCUCCCCAUUUUUUAUUGCAAUUUUGUUAUUCAAUCUCGGUAUUCUAUUUCUUUG